Molecule: ribosomal RNA, 467 nt
Filed under: uncultured bacterium
Lineage: Bacteria
Description: partial 16S ribosomal RNA
Rfam family: Bacterial small subunit ribosomal RNA
Source: RNAcentral
GACGAACGCUGGCGGCGUGCUUAACACAUGCAAGUCGAACGGAAAGGCCCUGCUUUCGUGGGUGCUCGAGUGGCGAACGGGUGAGUAACACGUGAGUAACCUGCCCUUGACUUUGGGAUAACUUCAGGAAACUGGGGCUAAUACCGGAUAGGAGCUCCUGCUGCAUGGUGGGGGUUGGAAAGUUUCGGCGGUUGGGGAUGGACUCGCGGCUUAUCAGCUUGUUGGUGGGGUAGUGGCUUACCAAGGCUUUGACGGGUAGCCGGCCUGAGAGGGUGACCGGCCACAUUGGGACUGAGAUACGGCCCAGACUCCUACGGGAGGCAGCAGUGGGGAAUAUUGCACAAUGGGCGGAAGCCUGAUGCAGCAACGCCGCGUGCGGGAUGACGGCCUUCGGGUUGUAAACCGCUUUCGCCUGUGACGAAGCGUGAGUGACGGUAAUGGGUAAAGAAGCACCGGCUAACUACGUG